Molecule: long non-coding RNA, 205 nt
Filed under: Anser brachyrhynchus (Pink-footed goose)
Lineage: Eukaryota; Metazoa; Chordata; Aves; Anseriformes; Anatidae
Description: lncRNA (ENSABRG00000021616.1)
Source: RNAcentral
AAAUAAAAAAUCCCCAAGCAAAGACCUCCAACUGGAAAUAUUUCCUGAAUGAUCUCACUGAGAAUCCCCAUGUGAUGAUGAGAUAGAAAAGACUGAGACCUGCCAAAACAAAUCCUCGUUGAAAGCCUGCUUGGAGCUUUAGAAAUGAUUUGAAGAACUUAUCUGAGUUGAAUUAGCUUGCUUAAUCACAGCGACACUUUGGCUG